GGCGGGGGUGGGGUGCAAUCCGGCUCCAUCGUGUGUGUGUGUGUGUGUGUGUGUGUGUGUGUGUGUGUGUGUGUGUGUGUGUGUGUGUGUGUGUGUGUUGCAGCCUGCUGAACGCCGGGUGUGUGCGCGAGGGACACGGUCGUGCUGGCCGGGGGGCGCGGUACAGGUGGUGUGUCCCCGUUACAGCUGUGCGGGUGCAGUGUGAUGGGGAGUGAGGGGAGGCCGCGCUGGGGGUGUAUCGCGUGUGCUUGUGUGUGGUUGUGGUUGUGUAACCAUCCGAGAUGCCGCAGUCACCGAGGGGCGCACGCGUGCGAGGAGUGCGUGUUCAGGGGGACCCCAAGCCCGGCCUCUGGGGGGUGCGGAGACUGGUGUGUGUGAUUGUGUAGCGUUUGUUGUUGCGUAACUGCGUUGUGCAUCUGCGCGCGCCUUUGCAUCGGAGCUGUGCGUGCGUUGGGGAUCCUGAGUGUGUCCCCGGGGUGCUGUAGAGAGUGAUGCGUGUGCGCGUGCAUUGUGCUGUGUUGGUGUGUGUGGUUGUGUAGCUGCCUCUUGCGGCCGUCUGAGCCCCUGCAGGCACUCAAGGUGGGCAUCAGGAUUGUGUAUUUGUGCGGCACCCUGAGUUUGGUCUUGUGGGUGCUGCAGAGACUAUGAUGUGCGUGUUGCGUUGUAUUGUGCUGUGUGUAUGUGUGGUGCUGUAGCUGUUUCUUUCAGCCGUCCGAGGUCCCGCAGUGGUCGGGGUUGUGUGUUUGAGCGAGGUCCUGUGCAGAGAGGGGGUUGGUGGUUGUGGUUGUGGUUGUGGUUGUGGUUGUGGCUAUGGUUAUGUAGCAGACUGGCAGCUUUGCAGCCCCUGCAAUGUCAAAGGUUGUAUGUUCAUAGGAGAUCCUAAUCCCCCCUUCUGGGAUCUGGUAACGGUUGUGGUGUGUGUAACUGUGUAGCUGCCCCUUGCAGCCAUCAGAGCCCCUGCGGUGGCCAGGGUGUGUGCAUCAGGAUUGUGUGUGGGUUUUUUUUGUUUUGUUUUGUUUGGGUUUUUUUUUUAGGGGAGGACCUUAAGCCUGACUGGUGGGAAGCUGCAGAGACCAUGGGGGAAGGGGGGCGAGGGCGUAUGUGCAUGCACGCAUCAGGACUGUAUGCGUUGUGAGGAGUACAAGCCUCUGGGGUGCUGCAGAGGGCAAGCUCCAGGCGUGUUGUUUUUUAUCGUCAUCAUUUUAUUAACAGACUUGUUUAAAGAUGUGGGUGGCGGGGGUUGUCUGUUGUAAGUUGUUUCUGGCUUUGCAUGUAUAAGUUGAUAGUGCCCAGGUUGUGUUGGGAGGGGAAGAAGGGGUGUGGGUGGGUGAUUUGUGUAAGGGGAGGUGCGUGUGUUAUGCAAGUUGUGGUGUUGUGCCUGGGUUGUGUCAGCAGGAGAAGUGUCUUGUUUUGUAUUUGGCUCUGCAUAUGUAAGUUGCGCCCUCAAGGAAAGAGGGGUGCAUGUGUGUUGCAUGCAAGUUGUGGCUGUGCGUACAUUGUCAGCAGGGGAAGGGUGUGUGUGUCUUAGGUGUAAAGGUGUGGUUGUGCCCAGGUUGUGUAGGCAGGGGACAAGUGUGUGUAUGUGUGUGUCAUGGGCUGUUGCAUCUUUCACUCCAUGUGGGUGUGGGUGUCAUGCCAGUUGUGGUUGUGUAAGCAGGCAAAGGGUAGGUGUGUGUGCACCUGCAGACAGCUCCACACUGGAGCAUGCAGUUCAGGGCUCACACUUGAGCAGCUAGGUGUGAGGGGCACCAUACGUUUCCUGCUGCCCCGCUCUUCUUUUCCCCCCCCAUCUGCCCCCACGGCCAGUGCUGCCCCGUGCGCUUGCCAGGGGCCGGGGGCAAAAUGACGGGGGUGCCUACGGCCAGGGCCACCUCCCUUGGUGACCCUGGUAUACAACAGCCCCCCACAGCUCCCUUCUGACCUGCAACCCCCUGCUCCCUUUGGUGCCCCUCGCUUCUGAUCCGCAACCCCCAGCCCCUUCCUCUUCCUUUCAUUCCAGACAGAUUAAUGCCGCGUCUCUUCCUCUCCAAAUGUCCAGAGGCUUCCUGCUUUCCUUCCCCCCUUCGCAAAAUCCUUCUGCCGCCUCCAGGCUCCCUGGAUGCAGCAACCAGGAAUCAGAAGAAUGGCUGGAAGAAGAUGCAAUGCUGGGUGCAGACACUACAGGCACCCUUGUCCUGCAUCUUGCCCAGGCUAGGAAUAUGGCUGCUAUAGCAGCUGUGGCCACCUGGGGCGUCCUUGCUUCCUGCCAUUGAAGAAUGGGGAUGAGGGGUGGGUGUCCUCCUAGGCCCAGCCACGAGGGGGUGCUGUGGCUCCCAGCUGGGUACCUGGGGUGUAGGAUCAGCCAGGAGGUCCACUGCGGUUGCGACUCAGAUGCUGGGGCUACAGCAGGCUGCAGGGCUGGCGACCUCUGCUCACAGUUCUGGACACCCAGAGAGCCUGAGCCAGGAUGCUCUGGGGUUCAGCCUCACAGGACACCUGGGUUUUGUUUCUGCCACUGACACCCCGUGUGAUCUGGGGCCACUUGGGUCACCUCCCUGUGCCACAGUUUCUUCACCCAUGCCAUGUGCUUCCUUCUCUGGGCAUGGUGCCUCGUGCCUCCAUUUCCCGGGUGAACUGGUAGCAUUCUGGGGAGUAUGCUUCCUUUCUAAGCUGCUGUCUGUAGCUCCUUGCAGGCUUAGAUGUCACCACAGCUGUUGUGUUUCCAGGUAUCUGGGCCAGGGAGGGCUACAAAUGCAUCUUUAACAGCCCUGCUGAGGUGGAGCUGUCAUCACAGGACUAGUUCUUGGGGCUUCAAGGCGUGUUGGCCUCAAUCCUGGCCUGGCCUAGUCCCACGACAGGGGUUUGGCUGUGAUUAAGGAACCUGGGUAGGAGAAUGGAGGGAAGGUCAGUUUCCCUCUGCCCCUAAACACAAGAUACUGUAUUUUCUGGUAUAGCAUGCACUUCCUCCCUAAACUUGGAAGAGUUUCUGCCACAGACUCUCCCUGGGCAACCUUGGUCAUGCCACCUGUCUCAGUCUCCCCAGCUGCAGCCCUGUACUGCUGCAGCCUGGCUGGGUCUAGUCAGCCUCUUGGCACAGACAAAGCUUCAGUUAUGAGGAGGGAAUGGUGAUCCUCUCCUGGGACCUGCCUCCUCCCCUGUUUGGGGUCCACUCCAGUGCUCGCAGUACCCCCUGUCUCAUUUCCCCCUCUUAGCCCUGUCCAGGUCUCGGCUACCUGGCAUUGCUGGGCAAUGUCCCCCAGGCUGCCUGUUGCCUACUGCCUCCCUUGCACCCCUUUUGUGACCUGCUCCUUUUUCACUUGCACACCAGCUCCAUGGAGUCCUGUCUCCCUUCCCUGCUGCCCCAGGUUAGGCCCCUGGUCUAUAUUUUGUGCCCCUGCCCCCAACCUGCAGCUAAGGAGGCAGCAGGAAGGACCCCAUCUUGUUGGAUAUGGCAGGGUGUUUUUAUUUGGAGAAGUACAAGAGAAGGCAAAGCAAGUUCCUUUGUGCUAUAUGCCAGUUUAGUGGGAUAUUGUUCAUCACUAAACAUUACUAGGGAAAGCUGUGUACAGCAUAAAAUACACAGGCAAACUCACUGCCAUUGGGAGGGGGUGGGGUGGUGUCAGGCUCCCCAGGAUCUAUCCUCAUGGUUGAGGCAAGUUUCAGACUCUCACUCCUCUACCUUUUGUGUGGAGGAGUUUUAUGGGUUCAAAUGCCUAUUAGGCCUUGUUGCACAUUGCAUUUUGCACUGCUCAUUAGUGCUAGCUUCAACUUGCAGCAGUUGCACCUAAAGGCUAGGAAUUGUCUUCUGCCUGCCCCACACUGCACAGCUGGGACUUGCCACUCUGGGAGCUAGUGAGCAGGGGGAAGUUUUCCCUGCAGGGCUGGGGAGUCAGGACUGGUUUCUAUCCCUGCUCUAGGUGGGGGUGUGAGAGAUGGGUGGUGGUGUGGGGGGAGUAGUGAGAGAUGGAAAGGAAAUGGGGGUGAAAUGAAGUAAGUCGGCUAUUGAAAGAUAAAAUAAGUAAAGACAAGAAACAUUGAAAAAGAGGAAAAAUUAAUCUUGUGUGUUAUUUGAGGUGUGUGCAUUGUGAGGGCUUGUUGUGCUUCCUGGUGUGUCUGGGAGUGGUGAGGAAAGGCACUUCUGGAGAAGCUGCUAUGCCUGCCCCCAGGAAGGCAGUCUCGGCUCAUGGGGACCCAAUUGGGUGCCUACCCUGUUCCCUACUCCCCACUUCCCCAGACUCUGCUCCUGGACCCAUCUGUGACUUGGCUAGCUGGCAUCUACUUUUCAGGCUGUUUGCUUGGGGUUGCACCUCGGGGAGGGAAAGUCAUAACCUCAGGGGCAGGAACAGGAGCUGGCUUGGUACCAGAACUGCUUGCUGGGCAGUAGAGUUCAGGGGGUGGAAAGAUUGAGGCUGGAGGCUGCGAGUGAGAGAGGGACAGAGGGAAAAACCCUGUUUACUCCCUUUCAGCACUUGCUCUCUGCUGCUGUGUGACAAGAGGCUGGGCAAGAUGCGAAGAACACAUGUUGCCACUAAAGGGGACCACGUCCCACUGAGAGUGAGCUGAACAGCCUGGAGACUCGUAUAGCUCCUUUCAGCAGCAUUAUGUACCUGCACAUAUAAUAGCUUUGUGGGUAAUGGGCUGAAUAGUGGAAUGUCAAGACUUAAGAACAUAAGAAGUGCCAUUUACUGAGACCACAGGUCUGUUUUGACUUUCUGGUUCAUUAUCUUCUCCCUGAUUCCUGCUAAUGUCUCUCCAUUCUAAAGGGGUGAAGGCCUCUCUCCCUUUUUUUAAUGAUAAUAGAAGAACCAGGGAUCAACAAAUGAAACUAGCAGGGAUUAAGUUUAAAACAAAAAAAGUUCUUUUUCACUCUCUUACAUAGGAGGAGAGAUGAAACUAGUCCAAGGGGAUCAGCAGGUAUUGGGGGAGUCCCUGUUCCCCCGAGCACUACCGGGAGUGACUAGAAAUACCGGUCACAAGCUGGCAGAGGGUAGAUUCAGGCUAGACAUCAGGAGGCGCUACUUCACUGUCAGGGCAGCUAGGAUCUGGAACCAACUUCCAAGAGAAGUGGUGCUGGCUCCUACCCUGGGGGGCUUUAAGAGGAGGCUGGAUGAACACCUCGCCAGGGUCGUUUGACCCCAGUGCUCUUUCCUGCCAUGGCAGGGGGUCAGACUUGAUGAUCUAUCAAGGUCCCUUCCAACCCGACCACUAUGAAAGUGGCCAGGCCUAUUCAGUUUAGGAAAAAAGACGAUGGGGGACUCAGGGCUUGCAAACAAGUAUGAAAACAGAGUCAAUAGAGAUUUAUUAUUGACUGUCCCCAUACAAGAACCAGGAAUCAUAAAAGGAAUCUAGUAGGCUGCAAAUUUUAAAACGAAGAAAAGGAAGUUUUAUUUCCCCCAAUGUGUCACUAAAGUGUGGGGCUCAUUGCUACCAGAUGUAGUAGAAGUUGAGCAUUUCGCCCAAUUCACAAAGGGAUUGGAAGAAAGGGGCAUCUGUAGUUAUUGAGUAUGGGAGUGAGGGGCACAGCUUCUGAGUAAGCCACCUAGACUUUAAGUGCUGGAGGUGCAAGCGGGAGAGAAAGAGUUGGAAAAACUCUGGCCAGAUCCGGUUCACUCUGCGUUGCAGCAUCUGCUUUCUUCUCCUCUUGGGACAGAGGCCUUGGCAAGAUGGACUCAUGGUCUGACUCAGUAAAUGGCAGUUCCUAUGUUCUGAAAUUGAUGUUCCACUAUUCAGCCCAUUAUUACUCACAGGUCAUUAGCCAUGCUGUAUACAAUGCUGGCUGAAAAGAGCAGUAUUAGUCCCCAGGCUGUUCAGCUUGCGACAGUAUCAUCUAGUCCCCUCUAGUGGUUUCAUGUGUUCCUUGCAUCUUUCCCAAUCUCAUGUCACAGCAAGCAGGCUGCCCCUUCACUGAAGCACCCUUUUGCCCCAGCCAGCCAGGGCAACAUCUACACAUGCGCUGCUGCAGAGUUUUUUUUUCACUCCAGCCUGAUAGUAGUGCACAUGUAGACACAUGACACUUACUGUGCAGCUAAUUAUUCCAUUGCACAGUAAAUGUCUUGUGUAGUUGUGCCCUGUGAUUGCCUAGUGUGUAAACAUGAUUCACAAGAUGAGCUCAGAGAUUUCAACAAGGCAUCCAUAGUGUUAAAACUAUUUGCCCUGUUGUGGCUUUUUUGAGUUCUUUGCAAUGGGAAAAACUGCGCCACCCCCAUCCCUAUGCUGUCAAAAAAUGAGUGAAAACAAAGACCUGGUGUUUUCCAAGGAUUAUCCUUGUGUCUGUAACUUGAAUCUAGAAAAGUUGAGAACCACAACACCAUGGGCCUAUGUGCUUUAUUGAAAUGAAUACAUCAAGCUAUUGUUCAUGCCAUGCAUCAAGCACACCUGCCUCCCAUACUGAAGUUUUAUGAUGUAGUUGGGAAAAGAUUUAAGCUCUUCCAGAUGGUGCUUUUUGACUUCUCAACACUAUUAGAAGCUUUGCAGUGGAACACUCUUGAUGUGUUGCUUCUUGAUGGGAGUUCAUAAGGUCUCUGACAUAUGUCUCAGUACAUUUAAGGUAAUAUUUAAUUUCAUCUGAGGGGGCAAAUGCAAGGAAGUUAAGUUCAAAACACUGACCUUCUCCAAGGCCCCAUUGUCCGUCUCUGUGUUCCCACCAGGAGUUCCCAGGUACAAUUGUGAACAUCUAGUGCUUCCCAGGUGGGCUUGGAGCAGGCCCUAGUCCCUGUGCAGCUGUGGCUCUGCAGAGAGGCCGUGGCUCUCUGUGCAGGUUGUUUCCCAGAGAGUGCCGGGAGAUUUUACCUGUGCUUCCAGCAGGGCAGGAAUAGGAGGAUCCAGCCUGUCAAAGUAGACGGUGUCCAGCCCAAAUGAAAGUGGAGAUUGAGUCCUCGGCUCUGUCCCCAGAUUGGUCACCUCGUUGCCACUUAACAUGCUGCAAAGCAUUGGAAUUAUUGGGUGGGUGAGGUGGAAUGAAGCUUAACUGCAAACUGGUUAUUUGUAGAUAUGCCCAGGAAACAACUGGAGACUGGACGUACACCUUAUUUGACCCCAGCAGUCUUUCUUGCCCAGAGCAGGGUGGCUGGACCCAAUGCUCUCACAAGGUCCCUUCCAGCCCUAAAACUUCUGUAAAUCUGUGAGUUUAGCCAGAUUCACAAAGGGUUUGGACACAUUCUUGGAGGAAAGGGGUAUCCAUAGCUAUUGAGUAUGGAAGUGAGGGGUACAGCCUCUGAACCAGAGCUUCCUAGGUGUUAAAUCAGUUUUCAAACUUUUUCAGCCCUUUUGAGUUACAAAUUUAUUUGUGCUUGCCGCCACUGCCACAGCUGGACAAGAGCUGAGUGAAGUGGAGUAGAGUCGAUUUGGGCUGCCUGGUUGAGGCUUCCUGCCCUGCCACUUUUUACUCAGGAGUCCUACAGCAGCCACGUGUUCCCUGCCAGCCCAGCAGCAGCAGGGGUACAACACCCUGCUUGCCAUCUCCACUGCUGCCAGGCAGGCAGGGGGCACCUUGCCACAGCAGUGUGGCCAACGCAGGACCUCCAGAUGGAGGGCAGCAGGUUGGGGAGCCCUAAGCCUGCAGCAGGCAGCCUGCAUCCACACCUGCCCUGUGCACAAAUUGGGGGGGGGGGGGCACUUGCCCCCCCCCCAUGGAUGAGAUGCCCAUGACUCUGUCCUGCUUCACGCCCUGGCCCCUAUUACCUGUCAGCUCUGUCUGACUUGUGAAGGACUCACCCCCCCAUGGCCCCUUCCACCUCUGCCUGAACCAGAACUGAUCAGAAGGACUUUUUUGGGAGCUGCACCUAAACCCCUCUAGACAAGGUGAUAGGAGUGAAGCAACUCCCCUGGUCUCAUUUACAUGAGAGAUGGGACAGGCAUGCACCUUCAUUAGCAUUCAGGAUGGAGAACAGAGAUUCCAAGGCAAGGGCUGCACUGAACUCUGGGACCAGAGAAGCAGGGGAGCAUUGCAUGAUGGGGGAUCCUUGCUCCAAAUGCUAAUCAGCCCACAUCUGUGCACACCCAGCUCAGCAGUUAUCAAACCAAUUCUAGUAAUGACUCCUUUAUUGGUACCCAAAAUGCUGAAUCUGCCUGCCUGUAUUGUGAGCUCCCUCAGAGUAACGCCACCCAUAGCCAGGAGUGAGCAGUUCCUAUUAUCCAGCACAUGAGCCAUCAUUUCCCAUAAACAAACCUAGUGCUCUCCCUUGAGCCACUGCUAUUUCCCGACAAAAAGUACCCAAAGUUCAGUCUCUGUUCUGGGGCUUGGAUCCAAAUGCUGCCCCAGUUCCACCUGGGACUUUACCUUCUCCUUUCCUGCCUGAAUACCCUCACUGAUCAUGCUCUGCCGUCUCAAAGCACCUUGGACCCACAGCUGAACAGCUUGUUUGUGGAGCUUGCAGACACCUGGGAACCUGGGAGUGGUGAGACCCCAAGUCUCUCUCUCUCCCCCUCCUUUUUUAUUUAAGCCCACUUUCUAAACCUCAGACUUGGUUCAAUCCCUCUCUCUCCUCUCUCUCUUACUCCAGGCACAGCUUUCUAAACCUGACUUUUGCUGAUCCAACUUGAGUUAGACUUCCCCAAAUACCUAAUUGAAAUGGUGUAAUAUUGUAAUUUUUGUUUUUUUUUCCCCUUGUAUGGCUAUUACUACUAAUAUCAUCAUAAGUUUCAUAUACCUGGCAAUAAAAUAAUUUUUUAUAGUCAA
Long non-coding RNA from Alligator mississippiensis (American alligator), 8656 nucleotides. RefSeq lists it as uncharacterized. Lineage: Eukaryota; Metazoa; Chordata; Crocodylia; Alligatoridae. The transcript has 2 exons. The record is from RefSeq and is a predicted model, not a curated record.